CAGCCGCCGCGGUAAUACGUAGGUGGCAAGCGUUGUCCGGAAUUAUUGGGCGUAAAGGGCUCGCAGGCGGUUUCUUAAGUCUGAUGUGAAAGCCCCCGGCUCAACCGGGGAGGGUCAUUGGAAACUGGGAAACUUGAGUGCAGAAGAGGAGAGUGGAAUUCCACGUGUAGCGGUGAAAUGCGUAGAGAUGUGGAGGAACACCAGUGACGAAGGCGACUCUCUGGUCUGUAACUGACGCUGAGGAGCGAAAGCGUGGGGAGCGAACAGGAUUAGAUACCCCCGUAGUCCCUGUCUCUUAUAC
This 301-nucleotide ribosomal RNA is filed under the name uncultured bacterium. Its description in RNAcentral is "partial 16S ribosomal RNA". It matches the Rfam family "Bacterial small subunit ribosomal RNA", at positions 509 to 807 of the family's 1533-position model. The record is from RNAcentral.